ACAGUGUAGCCUGGAAACCUCCUCAAGAGUUUGGUAAUGAGGAGGUUGCAGAGGCAGAGGGUAGCAGGUGAACGGGAAAUGGAGUUGAGAAAGCAGAGACGGUUGGGAUGGAUACCUUCUGGGACUGUACGCUAAAGGGAGGAUGGACAGAUGGACAGAGGGCAGAGAGUCUCUUCUGCUUCUGUGUUUUGAUUGUGUGUUGGUUUAAAAAGGAGAUCUUCUGUCAUGGACUGAGAGGAGGAAGUGAGUUCAGGACAUGAACUGAAGGGCGUCUUAACGCGGGUGAAGGGGCGUGGUCCUAAAUGGUAGGAAGAGACAGGGCAGCAGUAAAUGGUGACUGCAGGUGCGCAUGCAACAUCGUGCAGGGCAGAAGAAAGAGCGUCAAGAUGGGCGACAUCCAGCCUAGUGCUGGACUUACAGAAGGCCUUCAGCGGUGUGUUAGGUAACUGGCUAAAUGAACCACACACAGUCACCAUCUACCUCUCCAGACUCCUGACUGGAAAGAGCUCACUGCAAGGGCACCAUCCUGACCUCUGCCUUCACAACCCAGGAGUCACCAGGCCAAAGGAUGGCCACACAGGACCAUGGAAUCUAUUCGCUGAUACAACCUCGUUAGCUAGUCCUAGGCUUGGCCAGGGCCGCUGUGAAUGAAGUUCAGGGGGCGUUUCCAAGCCUAUCAUUUAUACAUUGACCCCUGGAGCUGCUCUUGUGCAUUACUCUCUUCGACCACCAGAGGUCAGGCUGCAGUCAGAACAGGCAGGGCCCAGAAAAGCCCAGCUCUGACUGAGGUCCUCCCUGCCCCGCAGGGCAGUUCAUCUAGACCCACCCAGGCUUGCCUAACACCCAAUAGUGACAGCAGGAUUCCUUUCCUGUUUGUCACCGACGUGAGCAGAAACAAAAGAAGCUACUUGCAAUCUGAUUACAGCUCCAGAAAACCGUUCCCCUUUCCCACAUAUCAUGCUUGGGAAUCGCUCAUCUGCCAACCAAGGAAGUGAGGGAGAUGCUCUAAGAGCCAAUUCCUUGCUUUGCUCACCGUUUGGAAACACAGGGUGGGACCAGGAAUCUGUACGCCAUGCCAUCGCUGCCUCUGGUUUUGUUCACCAGUCCUGAACAGUUAGUGCUGUGAGCGACAUCUACCUAGGGCUGUCUCUAAGCUGAGCCUUUGACUGGGGUCCUGCCCAAGACGGAAUUAUGGUUUCCCUCAGGCCUGUAAACCUCAGAAUGUGGGGUUCCGGGAACAUUUGAAGACAUACAAUUGCAUUUGGUCACAUAAACACCUAGCCGGGAUGAAAGAGAAUUCUCACUGUCCGGUGCAGAACGAAGACCACCUGGAGCCGUCCGCCCUCCCCACCCACCCUCAGUGCUCAGCGUCUUCUGAUCACUUCCGAGAGCUGCUUUCCUAUUUCAUCCGAUCUGAUGUGCUUCUGUCUUCCCCAGAGCAAAACCAUCUUGUACUGCGCUUCAGCUCUCUGCUCAAGAUAAUCCUUGCUUGUUGUCCAUCGGUGAGGAAAACUCAAUGCACAGCACGACCACCCUGGGGCACCAGCAGCUUCCGAGGAUGGAAUUGGAGGAAAGUUAACACCGAGUAGGCAAAAUCCAUCCUAAGAUCAGCCCCACUCAGAAAAACAAAACAAAACAAAACAAAAAAUGUGUAAUUUAGGAUGAAUACAA
Molecule: long non-coding RNA, 1671 nt
Filed under: Mus musculus (house mouse)
Lineage: Eukaryota; Metazoa; Chordata; Mammalia; Rodentia; Muridae
Description: predicted gene, 46355
Source: RNAcentral